GCAUGUGUGCAAGUCACUGGGAAACACUAAACCCAGAGGCGCAAUGAAAGUGGGGCGGCCUCGUGCCGCCAUGGGAGGAUGGCUCUCCUCGCGAGAGCCCGCACUCCCGGGGCGCCCCGGCUUCGGCCGUGGGCGCACUCUGAGCGUACACGUUGGGACCCGAAAGAUGGUGAACUAUGCCUGGUCAGGACGAAGUCAGGGGAAACCCUGAUGGAGGUCCGCAGCGAUUCUGACGUGCAAAUCGAUCGUCAGAGCUGGGUAUAGGGGCGAAAGACUAAUCGAACCAUCUAGUAGCUGGUUCCCUCCGAAGUUUCCCUCAGGAUAGCUGGCGCCCGCUUGGAACGAGGCGAGUCUCAUCCGGUAAAGCGAAUGAUUAGAGGCCUUGGGGCCGAAACGACCUCAACCUAUUCUCAAACUUUAAAUGGGUGAGAACUCCGGCUUGCUCGGGUGAAGCCGAGAGGCGGAUCAGGGUGCCAAGUGGGCCAUUUUUGGUAAGCAGAACUGGCGCUGUGGGAUGAACCAAACGCCGGGUUAAGGCGCCUAAACCGGAGCUCAUGGGAGACCAUGAAAGGCGUUGGUUGCUUAAGACAGCAGGACGGUGGCCAUGGAAGUCGGAAGCCGCUAAGGAGUGUGUAACAACUCACCUGCCGAAGCAACUAGCCCUGAAAAUGGAUGGCGCUAAAGCUCCGUGCCUAUACCCGGCCGCCGGAAGGCAUGGGCGCGAGCCGCUCUCGGGCGGCGAGCGCGUGAAGCCCCGGUGAGUAGGAGGGCGCGGCGGUGUGCGCGGAAGGGUCUGGGCGUGAGCCUGCCUGGAGCCGCCGCCGGUGCAGAUCUUGGUGGUAGUAGCAAAUACUCAAGCGAGGGCCUUGAGGGCUGAUGUGGAGAAGGGUUUCGUGUGAACAGCCGUUGCACACGAGUCAGUCGAUCCUAAGCCCUAGGAGAGAUCCGAUGUCGAUGUGGGGGGCUAUUCGUAGCUCCUCCUCGAUGGGCGAAAGGGAAUCCGGUUCCUAUUCCGGAACCCGGCAGCGGAACCGAAUCUACGGGCCCUCAUCAGAGAAGCUCGUCGGGGUAACCCAAAGGGACCCGGAGACGCCGUCGGGAGACCCGGGCAGAGUUUUCUGUUCUGCAUAAGCGUUCGAGUUCCCUGGAAUCCUCUAGCAGGGAGAUAGGGUUUGGAACGCGAAGAGCACCGCAGUUGCGGCGGUGUCCGGGUCGUCCCCUCGGACCUUGAAAAUCCGGGAGAGGGUCACGCGGAGGUGUCGCGCCGGCUCGUACCCAUAUCCGCAGCAGGUCUCCAAGGUGAAGAGCCU
Molecule: ribosomal RNA, 1310 nt
Filed under: Metallyticus splendidus
Lineage: Eukaryota; Metazoa; Arthropoda; Insecta; Mantodea; Metallyticidae
Description: eukaryotic LSU rRNA
Rfam family: Eukaryotic large subunit ribosomal RNA
Source: RNAcentral